This 1385-nucleotide ribosomal RNA is filed under the name uncultured bacterium. RNAcentral's name for it is "bacterial SSU rRNA". It matches the Rfam family "Bacterial small subunit ribosomal RNA", at positions 28 to 1381 of the family's 1533-position model. The record is from RNAcentral.
GACGAACGCUGGCGGCGUGCCUAAUACAUGCAAGUCGAGCGAGCGGAACUAACAGAUUUACUUCGGUAAUGACGUUAGGAAAGCGAGCGGCGGAUGGGUGAGUAACACGUGGGGAACCUGCCCCAUAGUCUGGGAUACCACUUGGAAACAGGUGCUAAUACCGGAUAAGAAAGCAGAUCGCAUGAUCAGCUUUUAAAAGGCGGCGUAAGCUGUCGCUAUGGGAUGGCCCCGCGGUGCAUUAGCUAGUUGGUAAGGUAAAGGCUUACCAAGGCGAUGAUGCAUAGCCGAGUUGAGAGACUGAUCGGCCACAUUGGGACUGAGACACGGCCCAAACUCCUACGGGAGGCAGCAGUAGGGAAUCUUCCACAAUGGACGCAAGUCUGAUGGAGCAACGCCGCGUGAGUGAAGAAGGUUUUCGGAUCGUAAAGCUCUGUUGUUGGUGAAGAAGGAUAGAGGUAGUAACUGGCCUUUAUUUGACGGUAAUCAACCAGAAAGUCACGGCUAACUACGUGCCAGCAGCCGCGGUAAUACGUAGGAGGCAAGCGUUGUCCGGAUUUAUUGGGCGCAAAGCGAGCGCAGGCGGAAGAAUAAGUCUGAUGUGAAAGCCCUCGGCUUAACCGAGGAACUGCAUCGGAAACUGUUUUUCUUGAGUGCAGAAGAGGAGAGUGGAACUCCAUGUGUAGCGGUGGAAUGCGUAGAUAUAUGGAAGAACACCAGUGGCGAAGGCGGCUCUCUGGUCUGCAACUGACGCUGAGGCUCGAAAGCAUGGGUAGCGAACAGGAUUAGAUACCCUGGUAGUCCAUGCCGUAAACGAUGAGUGCUAAGUGCUGGGAGGUUUCCGCCUCUCAGUGCUGCAGCUAACGCAUUAAGCACUCCGCCUGGGGAGUACGACCGCAAGGUUGAAACUCAAAGGAAUUGACGGGGGCCCGCACAAGCGGUGGAGCAUGUGGUUUAAUUCGAAGCAACGCGAAGAACCUUACCAGGUCUUGACAUCUAGUGCCAUUUGUAGAGAUACAAAGUUCCCUUCGGGGACGCUAAGACAGGUGGUGCAUGGCUGUCGUCAGCUCGUGUCGUGAGAUGUUGGGUUAAGUCCCGCAACGAGCGCAACCCUUGUUAUUAGUUGCCAGCAUUAAGUUGGGCACUCUAAUGAGACUGCCGGUGACAAACCGGAGGAAGGUGGGGAUGACGUCAAGUCAUCAUGCCCCUUAUGACCUGGGCUACACACGUGCUACAAUGGGCAGUACAACGAGAAGCGAGCCUGCGAAGGCAAGCGAAUCUCUGAAAGCUGUUCUCAGUUCGGACUGCAGUCUGCAACUCGACUGCACGAAGCUGGAAUCGCUAGUAAUCGCGGAUCAGCACGCCGCGGUGAAUACGUUCCCGGGCCU